RNAcentral lists this ribosomal RNA (119 nucleotides) under Mesocricetus auratus (golden hamster). Lineage: Eukaryota; Metazoa; Chordata; Mammalia; Rodentia; Cricetidae. The record is from RNAcentral.
GUCUGUGUCCAUACCAACCUGAACUUGUCUAUCUCUGAUGUUGAGAACUAAGCAGGGCCAGGCCUAGUUAGUACUUGGAUGAGAGCUCCACAUCAAACAGAUGGGCCUUAAUAAAGGCA